GCGCCAAUAGCUCAGUUGGGAGAGCGUCAGACUGAAGUUCUCGCUUCUUCAGUCCAUAAAAACUCGGGGUAAUCUGAAGGUCACCCGUUCAAUCCGGGUUUGGCGCA
Molecule: transfer RNA, 107 nt
Filed under: Tuber borchii (whitish truffle)
Lineage: Eukaryota; Fungi; Ascomycota; Pezizomycetes; Pezizales; Tuberaceae
Rfam family: tRNA
About the family: Transfer RNA (tRNA) molecules are approximately 80 nucleotides in length.
Source: Rfam by way of RNAcentral